This 301-nucleotide ribosomal RNA is filed under the name uncultured bacterium. Its description in RNAcentral is "partial 16S ribosomal RNA". It matches the Rfam family "Bacterial small subunit ribosomal RNA", at positions 509 to 807 of the family's 1533-position model. The record is from RNAcentral.
CAGUCGCCGCGGGAACACGUAGGGUGCGAGCGUUAAUCGGAAUUACUGGGCGUAAAGCGUGCGCAGGCGGCUUCGCAAGACAGAUGUGAAAUCCCCGGGCUCAACCUGGGAACUGCAUUUGUGACUGCAAGGCUAGAGUGCGGCAGAGGGAGAUGGAAUUCCGCGUGUAGCAGUGAAAUGCGUAGAUUUGCGGAGGAACACCGAUGGCGAAGGCAAUCUCCUGGGCCUGCACUGACGCUCAUGCACGAAAGCGUGGGGAGCAAACAGGAUUAGAUACCCGUGUAGUCCCUGUCUCUUAUAC